Molecule: long non-coding RNA, 1981 nt
Organism: Lineus longissimus
Lineage: Eukaryota; Metazoa; Nemertea; Pilidiophora; Heteronemertea; Lineidae
Exons: 3
Source: RefSeq, a predicted model, not a curated record
CAUUCUCAAAAAAUUAUUCGAUCAUAGAUGCAGUUUUUAUGUGAGCUGCUUCAAUCUUAGGACAGUAAUAGCUACCAAUAGAACUUUUCUUAUUAACCAACUGUGAAAAGCAGAACCAACAUUUAGGACCAAGAGUGGCAGAAAAAGUGUGUUCAGGGAUUCAUCACUGUGUUGAUCUUGAAGGGUCAAUUGUGUGCGUAUUCAUGCUAUGGUAUUUUGGCCGUCUUUGGAACAUAUAAAAAAGUGCCAGUUUGACUGGAUCAUACCGAUUUACUCUGAGGGAUAUCACAUCGCGAACGUAUCAGCACGGAAGACAUUGAGCUUCAGCAGCAAACCAGAUUGAGAUUAUUCGUGAAACUGUACAAAACGAAAUGAAAGUAAAAGUGACAAGAGUGGGUUGCAUCAUCGUGCUAAACAUAGUUGCUGCACUCAGCCAAUCAGCAGCAGCACAAAAUUGCACACAAGAUGCAUAUUACGACACUGGAACUGAAGACUGCCAGCCCUGUCUUGAAAUUUGCCGCUUAUCUGACGAUGGAUGCAGACGCCAUUGUCCAGAAUUCGACAAAAGAACAAAAGCAGAGAGCUGCGGCAAAGACACAUACUACGAUCCCAAAGUCGAGUCUUGUCAGCCGUGUCGAGAGGUUUGCCCAUCUUUGGAUGACAGCUGCUCGAAACUUUGUCCAGACAUGGUUACACCUACUACUCCUAGUCCUACACUCAGUCCAACUACAGGAGGAGAAAUGACUAAUACAACGACAUGGACCACAGUAUUAACUUCUGGCACGCCCCCAUGGCUUGUAUGGAUCAUAGCACUAAUUGUCAUUUUGGCCGCAAUAUUAGGCUUAAUAGUAUUCAUUAUGUGGUACCGUGGUUGUCUGAAUAUACCUACAUUUGGAUGUCAGCAAUGUUGUACUCGAGAACAGGGGUCAGCUAAUGAAAACACAAAAACUCCUGAACAAGUAGCUAAAAUUGACAUGACUCCCAGUGGUGACAGUGCAGCAGAAAACUUUAAAAAAGGAAUUGCUGAAGUUGAUGAUAUUUAUGGUUGCCCUCUGAUAGUGUUAGGGGAAAAUCAUACUGCUAGUCCUACAACUGGGCACACCAAUGACAGUUUUGAUGCCCAGCUUAGAAUUUAAUUUCAGGUAUGUUUAUAGAUAUUGAGGACCACACGCUCCAAACAGAGAAAUGGAUUGCUAUUCAUUCUUAUUACAAACUUUUAAAAAUCUCCAUGAUCCAUCCACGCAAUGGGGCAACCCCUCAAGUAAGUUGAAUUUGUAUAUUUUUGGAAUGCCAUUCAAGAGUGAAGUCUGACAGGAACUCUGGUUGAUGCUGUUGUUAUCUAUAAUCCAUACUUGAUAAAUUGCAUAUGUAUGUACAUGUAUGUAACGUUUGAAUGAAGUUUUCAUACGAUGGCCUGGUUCAGCUAGUAAAGCAGUCAUGCAUGAACCACUGAGAAUUUGAUGAAUGAAAUGGACAGUGGCCAAGUACUUCAUAUACGUGUGCAUGCAUAUACUAUCACUGUAUAUACCAUAUGUGUGUUACAUAUACUGUUAGUUAUCCAUAGUAGUGUACUUUAACGAAUAAUCAUUCCAUCGAUUUUGAUACCAACAUAUUCAUCACAAUGAGAGACAGCAUUGUCCCAGUAAGAAAUUCUUUACACUGGGAAAUACUCUCUGUAACAAUAAUUUCAACUUUUUUUUUCUCCACCAUAUAUUUUCGCAAUGGUCUGUGAACACGAAAAACAUAAUAGGUAGACAAAUAUUUCCAAGUUGACAGUAUACAUGAAUAUUCUACCACUCAGGUACUUUGUACAUAAUAUUAUGAUUUUAUAGCUCAAUUUUUCAAAAAAUGCAAAUCAUUUUGAAGAUUUAUCAUGUUUGUAUGAAAUAAGCUGUGAUAUAUUGCAUAAUUAUUUGCAAAUUAAUCAAUAUCAUUAUAUUUAUAAUAAAAGUUGUUAUUUCUCAAAGUUAUUCCAGAUGAU